UUCUGGGUUUUCUCUUCUAUUCCAUUGAUCUAUGUGUCUGUUUUUGCUCCAGUAUCAUACUAUCUUGACUACUACAGCUUUGCAAUAGCUUGAAGUCUGGAAUUGUGAUGCCAACAACUUUG
Molecule: long non-coding RNA, 122 nt
Organism: Mustela erminea (ermine)
Lineage: Eukaryota; Metazoa; Chordata; Mammalia; Carnivora; Mustelidae
Exons: 3
Source: RefSeq, a predicted model, not a curated record